CAGUCGCCGCGGUAAUACGUAGGGUGCGAGCGUUAAUCGGAAUUACUGGGCGUAAAGCGUGCGCAGGCGGUUGUGUAAGACAGGUGUGAAAUCCCCGGGCUUAACCUGGGAACUGCGCUUGUGACUGCACAGCUAGAGUAUGGUAGAGGGGGGUGGAAUUCCACGUGUAGCAGUGAAAUGCGUAGAGAUGUGGAGGAACACCGAUGGCGAAGGCAGCCCCCUGGGCCAAUACUGACGCUCAUGCACGAAAGCGUGGGGAGCAAACAGGAUUAGAUACCCCCGUAGUCCCUGUCUCUUAUAC
RNAcentral lists this ribosomal RNA (301 nucleotides) under uncultured bacterium. RNAcentral describes it as "partial 16S ribosomal RNA". It matches the Rfam family "Bacterial small subunit ribosomal RNA", at positions 509 to 807 of the family's 1533-position model. The record is from RNAcentral.